RNAcentral lists this ribosomal RNA (237 nucleotides) under uncultured bacterium. RNAcentral describes it as "partial 16S ribosomal RNA". It matches the Rfam family "Bacterial small subunit ribosomal RNA", at positions 334 to 587 of the family's 1533-position model. The record is from RNAcentral.
UUGUCCUACGGGAGGCAGCAGUGGGGAAUAUUGCACAAUGGGGGGAACCCUGAUGCAGCGACGCCGCGUGAGUGAAGAAGUAUUUCGGUAUGUAAAGCUCUGUCAGCAGGGAAGAAGAAAGACGGAACCUGACCAAGAAGCCCCGGCUAACUACGUGCCAGCAGCCGCGGUAAUACGUAGGGGGCAAGCGUUAUCCGGAUUUACUGGGGGUAAAGGGAGCGGAGACGGCAGGGCAAG